AUUGAACGCUGGCGGCAGGCCUAACACAUGCAAGUCGAACGGUAGCACAGAGAGCUUGCUCUCGGGUGACGAGUGGCGGACGGGUGAGUAACGUCUGGGAAACUGCCCGAUGGAGGGGGAUAACUACUGGAAACGGUAGCUAAUACCGCAUAACGUCGCAAGACCAAAGUGGGGGACCUUCGGGCCUCACAUCAUCGGAUGUGCCCAGAUGGGAUUAGCUAGUAGGUGGGGUAAUGGCUCACCUAGGCGACGAUCCCUAGCUGGGCUGAGAGGAUGACCAGCCACACUGGAACUGAGACACGGUCCAGACUCCUACGGGAGGCGGCAGUGGGGAAUAUUGCACAAUGGGCGCAAGCCUGAUGCAGCCAUGCCGCGUGUAUGAAGAAGGCCUUCGGGUUGUAAAGUACUUUCAGCGGGGAGGAAGGCGGUGAAGUUAAUAACUUCACCGAUUGACGUUACCCGCAGAAGAAGCACCGGCUAACUCCGUGCCAGCCGCCGCCGUAA
This 504-nucleotide ribosomal RNA is filed under the name uncultured bacterium. RNAcentral describes it as "partial 16S ribosomal RNA". It matches the Rfam family "Bacterial small subunit ribosomal RNA", at positions 30 to 523 of the family's 1533-position model. The record is from RNAcentral.